Molecule: long non-coding RNA, 1240 nt
Organism: Polistes dominula (European paper wasp)
Lineage: Eukaryota; Metazoa; Arthropoda; Insecta; Hymenoptera; Vespidae
Source: RefSeq, a predicted model, not a curated record
UGCAUCACAUCAUCACAGUGUGUCUGAACUCAAUGCCGUACUUGACGGUGAAGAGCAGCAAAGAAGACCCCCGUUAAGUACGUUCUCGAGCACAUUUCUACUUUCGGUUUGUGUUGUGCUAUGUCGUCCAAGAGAAAAUAAUGGCGGUAGGAGAGACGAUGAGUGAAAAAGAGAGAGAGAGAGAGAGAGAGGGGCCCUAGCAAGCUAGGGGACACUAUGUUGUGUCGUCGUCGUCGUCGUCGAAACCCGUAAACGGAAAGAAACGGUUUAUCGGUAGUACCAAAUAAAGAAACCUUUAGCGAUUCCUUUCACUGGUGCCGCGCGGAAUUCGGCCGAAGAAUCGAACGAAAAUAAAAAGAAGAAUAAAGGAAGAAAGGAAGGAAGACAAGAAGGAAGGAAGUCAUCGAGAUCAACUGAAACCAUGAGAAGAAAGAACUCGGCCGAGCAAGUCUAGGGAAUUCGAUUGCAAACGAAUGAUAAGAAACUACUUUUAGUAGAUAAAAUAUUAAAAAAUAUUGACAUGAUAAGAAAAUAAGAAGGAGGACACAGAGUGACAAUAAUUUGCUAAACGUUUCAAUUUUUCUUUCGUUUAUUAUUUUAUAUCGAACGAAAAAUAAUUCAUAAGAUGAUAUUUGAUAAGAAUGAUAGAAAUAGCAAACAUAUGAAAUAACUCCAAUCUCAUAUAUAACAUCAUCUAUGAGAAAUCAAGGAAUAAGAUUUUAUUCAAGAAAUACGAUAUGUAUCAAAUUUGUAUGAUUUGUUCUUAUUUUCUUCUUUUACUUUUAACGAUCACUUAAAUACGAUCUGUAUGAACAACUCGAGGACCACUCAAGGUAGCUUUAAAACAUGGCUAAAAUAACAUGGUGUUCCUUUAAUGUCUUAUUCGUCGAGCCACUUCACAACCUUUCAACGAGCAUAUCUCAGUGAACGGGACGUGUGGAAGGAAGAAACAAGCGUCGUGUGCAGGGUGGUGGUGGUGGUGGUGUUGGUGGUGUUCAAGCCAUUUACGAUUCUUCGGCGAAUUUUACGAUCGGCCGAUUGGAUUCAAGCCAAGAAAUUGAGAAAACCAAACGGCAGCUGAUCUCUCUCGCAUCGUCGUAAAAGCUCUUUUCCUUUCCACCAUGUAUGCAUGCAUGCAUGCAUCCACGUUGCGGCCUUUAUUGUUCUUUUGAAAACGUGUAACACACGUGCGAGCACGCGCACGCGUACAAACAACACCCAUGAAGAUACUUCCUAUCGU